Molecule: unclassified non-coding RNA, 305 nt
Filed under: plant metagenome
Description: partial contains 5.8S ribosomal RNA, internal transcribed spacer 2, and large subunit ribosomal RNA
Rfam family: 5.8S ribosomal RNA (bases 1-105)
Source: RNAcentral
GAAAUGCGAUAAGUAAUGUGAAUUGCAGAAUUCAGUGAAUCAUCGAAUCUUUGAACGCACAUUGCGCCCGCCAGUAUUCUGGCGGGCAUGCCUGUUCGAGCGUCAUUUCAACCAUCAAGCCCCCGGCUUGUGUUGGGGACCUGCGGCUGCCCGCAGGCCCUGAAAAACAGUGGCGGGCUCGCUGUCACACCGAGCGUAGUAGCAUACAUUCUCGCUCAGGGCGUGCUGCGGGUCCCGGCCGUUAAACGACCUUCAUAACCCAAGGUUGACCUCGGAUCAGGUAGGAAGACCCGCUGAACUUGAGC